This 253-nucleotide ribosomal RNA is filed under the name uncultured bacterium. Its description in RNAcentral is "partial 16S ribosomal RNA". It matches the Rfam family "Bacterial small subunit ribosomal RNA", at positions 524 to 776 of the family's 1533-position model. The record is from RNAcentral.
UACAGAGGGGGCUAGCGUUGUUCGGAAUUACUGGGCGUAAAGGGCGCGUAGGUGGCCUGUUAAGUCGAACGUGAAAUCCCCGGGCUCAACCCGGGAACUGUGUCCGAGACUGGCAGGCUCGAAUCCGGGAGAGGGAUGUGGAAUUCCAGGUGUAGCGGUGAAAUGCGUAGAUAUCUGGAGGAACACCGGUGGCGAAGGCGGCAUCCUGGACCGGUAUUGACGCUGAGGCGCGAAAGCCAGGGGAGCAAACGGG